Molecule: unclassified non-coding RNA, 379 nt
Filed under: uncultured Gammaproteobacteria bacterium
Lineage: Bacteria; Pseudomonadati; Pseudomonadota; Gammaproteobacteria
Description: contains 16S-23S intergenic spacer region
Source: RNAcentral
UCCGGUUUGUCACCGGCAGUCUCCUUAGAGUUCCCACCAUUACGUGCUGGCAAAUAAGGACAAGGGUUGCGCUCGUUACGGGACUUAACCCAACAUCUCACGACACGAGCUGACGACAGCCAUGCAGCACCUGUCUCUCGGUUCCCGAAGGCACCCCCGCAUCUCUGCAGGGUUCCGAGGAUGUCAAGACCUGGUAAGGUUCUUCGCGUUGCGUCGAAUUAAACCACAUGCUCCACCGCUUGUGCGGGCCCCCGUCAAUUCAUUUGAGUUUUAAUCUUGCGACCGUACUCCCCAGGCGGUCAACUUAUCGCGUUAGCUGCGCCACUAAAAACACUAAGGUUUCCAACGGCUAGUUGACAUCGUUUACGGCGUGGACUAC